Molecule: small RNA, 28 nt
Filed under: Bombyx mori (domestic silkworm)
Lineage: Eukaryota; Metazoa; Arthropoda; Insecta; Lepidoptera; Bombycidae
Description: ovarian small RNA-22109
Source: RNAcentral
UAGAUCAUGUCCGGCUGGACUUUCUCGC